GGAGAACCUGGCAUCAUCAUAAACAGGUGAUUUUCAGGGAAUGAAGGGAAGAUAUAUAUGUGUGCAUGUGAGUCAAGGACGGAAUCAACUUACUACUCCGAGUUGUUCAGAUGCUUUGGCCUUCCAAAGCCUGAGGAAGUUCCGCAGGUAAAUCCGCAGGAAGUAAUCCACAGUUCAGAUGGGACUUAUCGUGCAUUUUGCACCUCAACAAGAAAUGGCCUGCCUGGGCCCAGCAUUCGAACCUAGAAGAAUAAUUACAUAUCAGAUAAGUUUAUCCACCAAUAAACUUAUAAAAUAAAUCAAAACCAUGAGUUUUUGGUACAUCAAUAUCUUCUCUUCGGGCAGCAUGAAACUUGAAACUAUCAUCUUGGCAUACUGGGAGGAUCCACCAAUUAUUUCCUACAAUGCAAGUAUACAUUACUGUCAUCUUCCACAGUCAAAAGUCAACUUUUAAAGGAAGUGAGUAUCUUCCGACAACAGAAGAUGAGAGAUCAUGUCCACCACUACCAUGAGAACUUACUCUUCCUGUUUGUUUAAUGCCCACUAGAACCCUCCCUAUUGGUAGCACUAGCACCACUGUCUGAUGAACUGUGUCUCCAGCUACCAAAGAACGCAGUGCUCCACGAUCUAUUCGAUGAAGUUGUUCUCAAUUUCACUGAGCUAAAACUUUCUUCUCUCACAAUCUUCAAUGGAUGCAUGAAUCAACAAUUUAAGUAUUUAAAAUAUCAGUAUUCGUAUUUUCUUCGUAUAAUUCCCCUUGGCCCAAUACUCUAGCCCACUCCCCAUCUUUUCUUCUAUUAUAUGUGUGUAAAAGGCCCAAUAGGAAUCAAAUCACAAUAAAGAGAAGGAAAUACAUAAAUAGAUCUAAACUGGCAUUUACCUUUUUCCAUCAAUUAUGACUGAAGGUCGAAUAACUAUCGGUGGCACAGUAAUGUCUGUUAUUAUGAGCUUCUCUGGUUUUUCCAUAUAAAGUAGGUCGCAGUCCUACAACAAAGGGUAACAAGUUUGUUUAGCUUGAGGGAAAAAUAAACCUCUGCAGUCUUAAAACAACAAUCGUUUUAAACAAGUAAUGGACCCUGAGAGGGUCAAGAACUCGAGAAGUCAAGUCAUUGCAUUCCCUAUAAUUGUUUACAUCAGAAAGAGCUGAUUAGCCACAAGUUACAUUAAGUAAAUUACAUUUCAUCUUAGUAAAAACACUAUAUCAGCCAUCCUCUGAAUUUGUUUGAUGCUAUGAGAAACCAUGAUCAGUGUCAUACCUUUGUUCUUGUUCAACUUCAUCAAAGCAUCUUCUAUGUUUUCUGUCGAUAUCGGAUCUAAUGCACUAGUAGGUUCAUCCAACAGCAAAACCUUCCAAAUUAACAACACAAAAAUAUUAAAUAAUCAAACAAACAUUAGUAUUUGGAUUCAUCCUAGUUGAAAUAUACCUCAGGUGAGUUAGCUAGAGUACUUGCAAGUGCAACUCUUUGAGCCUGACCUACAGAGAGGUCAGUGCCAGAUUUAUCCAUGAAAGAAGCAUCCAAAUCCGCCAUUGUCAGCAACUUCUCCACCUCAUUGUCUGUCAGCAACUUCUCCACCUCAUUGUCUACAAGUUUUACUCCGCCUAAAUAGUAUAUAUGACAUUAGUACUUUGCAUAAUUUUUGUUAGCUGUUACUUAGACAGAACACCAACACCUUCCAAAUUGUUUCUAAAACGAGACAUAUUGAAUUAUUCAAAAUGAAGUAUCUCGUGCAUAUCUUACAUUAGUUUUCAUUGACAUAAGUGUGAUAUGUAUUGAAUAAUAUUUCACAUAUUUUAUGAAAUUUUCACAACUCUAAUUAACACCAGGAGUCCCACCAGCUUAAGAUAUACAUAUAUAUGCUUGAUCUUGAGCUGUAUCGACGUGCUCUUUCUUAUCUUAAAAUCUAUGUGCAGUAUGGUGGGACAUGUAUUUAUGUGGCUGUUAUGGUAGAUACAAAUCAAUGAAGCAUACAACCAUUUGAAGAUGACAAUGAAACAAGCAUUUAAUAUGCAUUUCUGAACAGAUAGAUCGCAAAAUUCUAAUCAAAAGCUAUAGUUGAGAGCAAUAGUUUUGUUGUGUCCAUCUUUAUGCAACUUUUGAAAGUGACUUUAUAGAUUCAUGGAACAUCAACUAGCCAAGUUGACAAACUGAUUGAAUCACCUCUUUGUGUGGUUGACAGAAAAUUAGAUACAUUGCUAUUACUAUGAUGCCAAACCAGGUGAUAGGCAUGCCAAGUGAUCAGAUUCUAAUAACAACUACCAAAUACACACCAUUUGUAAGUAACUACCAGAAUAAAAUGUUGAGAACACUUGCCGGAGGUAAACCAGGAAAGGUGGAACUGAAUGUUGUGAGUUACGGUGGAAGUGUGAACAUAUCAACAGGAGAAGUGAACACUACAAUCCACAAAUAUUGGUUCAAAGUUCAUAACAACCAUUAUUACUUAUUAUCCACAAAUAUUAGUUAAUACUAUAAAUCUUAUCUUUUAAUGAGAAACUGAUGAGUAGAAUUGAACUGAUCAGGAUGAUCAAAGUUGUAGUCUUGUACUCUUUUAAAUUUUU
Molecule: long non-coding RNA, 2557 nt
Organism: Vicia villosa (hairy vetch)
Lineage: Eukaryota; Viridiplantae; Streptophyta; Magnoliopsida; Fabales; Fabaceae
Exons: 4
Source: RefSeq, a predicted model, not a curated record